Molecule: ribosomal RNA, 400 nt
Filed under: uncultured bacterium
Lineage: Bacteria
Description: bacterial SSU rRNA
Rfam family: Bacterial small subunit ribosomal RNA
Source: RNAcentral
GACGAACGCUGGCGGCGUGCCUAACACAUGCAAGUCGAGCGGAGCCAAUCAUCAGAUCCCUUCGGGGUGAAGAAGAGGAAGCUUAGCGGCGGACGGGUGAGUAACGCGUGAGUAACCUGCCCAUAAGAGGGGGAUAACACAGAGAAAUCUGUGCUAAUACCGCAUAUUGAAUAUUUACCGCAUGGUUGAUAUUUGAAAGAUUUAUCGCUUAUGGAUGGACUCGCGUCUGAUUAGCUAGUUGGUGAGGUAAUGGCUCACCAAGGCGACGAUCAGUAGCCGAACUGAGAGGUUGAUCGGCCACAUUGGAACUGAGACACGGUCCAAACUCCUACGGGAGGCAGCAGUGGGGAAUAUUGCACAAUGGGCGAAAGCCUGAUGCAGCAACGCCGCGUGAGUGAAG